RNAcentral lists this long non-coding RNA (696 nucleotides) under Homo sapiens (human). RNAcentral's name for it is "HSALNT0241820". The record is from RNAcentral. Lineage: Eukaryota; Metazoa; Chordata; Mammalia; Primates; Hominidae.
CAACUCUUAAAGCUGUCCCCCAUUUCCAAUCCUGCUUCUACUCGCUCCAGCUUCUGAUGGCCUCUUGGGUUUGUAUUCUCCUCCAUCUGAAAUAGCCCCCCUUCCCUUAAAAUGUCCUUGGGUGGACAGUCCUCCAAAGCCUCCCCACAGCCCACAGCAGAACCCGCUUGGCCUGGCUCUCCUAGGAUGGGGCCUCUGCAGCCUCCUCUCAUGCACACCCACCCCUGCCAACUCUCCCUGAACACUAGGCUCUUCUCUGCCUGCCUUUGUAGGCAUGAGGCUGCCUUAGAAGGGUGAGAUUAGGAGUGCUGGCUGUGCUCUUGGGUAACAAUGUCCCCCCCAUCACCUGUGCGACCCAAGAGAAACUUCUUUUCAUCCCUCAGAACCUGAAUUAAUGAUCACACCUCCCACCCCGCCAGGAGUUUUCUUGUUUCCCCUUCUGUGUUCCCAUAGAACCUGCUCAUAUACUUCUAUUUAACAUGAUAUAUAUACCAUGAUUGGUUUCCACUUACAGACUUUUAGCUCUUAGAGCCCAGAAUUAUGUAUCACUGAUCCAGACCAGACAUACAGUAGGUACUUAUGCAAGCUCGAAAACACAAAUGAGAAACAGAAACAUUGUUUUUACCCAAAGAAACUGUUAAUGUAGCCAAUUGCUUUGUCCCACUCUCCCUGGGGCAGGUAAAUGUGCAAGAAAAC